GACGAACGCUGGCGGCGUGCUUAACACAUGCAAGUCGUACGGUAAGGCCCUUUCGUGUGUCCACGAGUGGCGAACGGGUGAGUAACACGUGAGUAACCUGCCCACAACUUUGGGAUAACGCUAGGAAACUGGUGCUAAUACUGGAUAUGUGCUCCUGCUGCAUGGUGGGGGUUGGAAAGCUCCGGCGGUUGUGGAUGGACUCGCGGCCUAUCAGCUUGUUGGUGGGGUAGUGGCCUACCAAGGCGGCGACGGGUAGCCGGCCUGAGAGGGUGACCGGCCACAUUGGGACUGAGGUACGGCCCAGACUCCUACGGGAGGCAGCAGUGGGGAAUAUUGCACAAUGGGCGCAAGCCUGAUGCAGCAACGCCGCGUGCGGGAUGACGGGCUUCGGGUUGUAAAACGCUUUCAGCAGGGAUGAAGCUUUUUGUGACGGUACCUGCAGAAGAAGCACCGGCUAACUACGUG
This 465-nucleotide ribosomal RNA is filed under the name uncultured bacterium. RNAcentral describes it as "partial 16S ribosomal RNA". It matches the Rfam family "Bacterial small subunit ribosomal RNA", at positions 28 to 507 of the family's 1533-position model. The record is from RNAcentral.